This is a long non-coding RNA of Mercenaria mercenaria, 459 nucleotides long. RefSeq lists it as uncharacterized. The record is from RefSeq and is a predicted model, not a curated record. The transcript is spliced from 3 exons. NCBI's taxonomy places the organism in Eukaryota, Metazoa, Mollusca, Bivalvia, Venerida, Veneridae.
CUAUGUUUCAAUGUUUAUAGCUUUAAUGUUAUGCAUUUGCAUUGAAAUGAAAAUAUACAAUGAAAUAUUAUUAAACUAAACCUUGCAAAAGCGAUACAAAAUGCUACGACGGUUAAUGCAUUUCGUAUAUCUGAAACGUUUAUUUGCUUGUCUAGCAAUAUAUUACAUUUCCCAAACCGUGAAAGGCUAUUGGAUGUACAAAAAUGGAUUUCCAGUGGUAAAUUCAACUUGGAUACCUACAGACAUGCAACCAAAAGACGUAUUUCAAUUCGUGGGAAACGACGUAGAAAUGAUUGUGUACGCUGCUUACUAUGAUGAAAGGAUACACAAGGUACGUGUAAUUGGUGUGUCGAAAAUCAAGUAUGCCGCUGUCCAUUGUUUAAUGAGUUACUCAAGCCAGUUUGAAUCAAUACAUACAGAAGCUGCAGUUGUUGUAAUUCAAGACCAUAAAAAUUUAAC